Molecule: long non-coding RNA, 714 nt
Filed under: Helianthus annuus (common sunflower)
Lineage: Eukaryota; Viridiplantae; Streptophyta; Magnoliopsida; Asterales; Asteraceae
Source: RNAcentral
AUGGGAUUUAUGGUGGCUCAGGUGUUGGAGGGUAACCAACCGGUUUUGAUGUUCUACCUAGCCACUGUGGAUUUCACAUCUUGUAGAGUGAUGAGUUUGUUGCAAAACAUGACUUAAUGAAGAUGAAUCAUGUGGUUUGUUCGAAGCCUAGGCAAGUCAACCUCUUCAGUUCCACCUUGAACGGGCCUGCUAUGAAUUGAAGAUGACAAAUGUGCUAUCAGCCAGCUGGACUUAUAUGAAUAUAAUUCAGGCCCAGACUGAGCUUGAAUUUAUGCACAAUAUUUCUGAGGAGGUCUGCUCUCAGUUACAUUCUUGAAAGUGCUCCGUUCAAUGAUAGCCAAAAAUGGUGUAAGAAAAUCACUACUUGUAGCACCAAUGCCAACUGCUUCAACAAGUCAAUUUCUUGGAAAUAACGAGUGUUUUGAGCCCUACACUUCCAAUAUCUACAGCCGUCGGGUUUUAAGUGGUGAGUUUGUUGUGGUGAACAAGCAUUUGCUGCAUGAUUGAUAAUCUCACUAAGAGUAUAUCCCGCUAAUUGGAUCGGAUGAUGCAAGAUACACUUUGUUGGGAGUGCCCAACUUUGAAUAAUGAAGCGACUUCUUUUUUAAUCGAGCCGAGCUUAUAAAAAGUGAAUUUGGAUCGAGUCGGUGAGAUAUCGAAGGAGAUUAUGUCGGUUCGAAAGACGAUCGAGCGGGUGAAGCUUGUGACGAUGGA